AAAAGCAUUAAAUUUUUGGAACCAUAAAAAGAAAAGAUAAAAGAAAUCAAGUAUGUAUAUUGUUUGGCAAUGGUGGCAGUAGGAGAAGCAGCCAGCUCACAAUCCUUAGGGACCCAUCCUAUCAACAUGGUGUGGCAGCAGUCACCAGCCAUUACAACAGUACCUUCAUCUCUGUCCAGAAGUGGGUUCAUUGAGAAACCCCUUGGAUAUGGUCGAAUUCUCAAGCUUCCCACUUGUAAAAAAUACCCACAUGGUAGAAAGCUCAAAUUCUUUGAUUUCAGAGCUCAAGCUUCAGAAACAACGAAAAUCAGCUCAGAGACGGCUGGAACAAUCUCAAACAAAGCAGAUUCAAAAGAUGAGGAUCUUGCUUUUGUUGCUGGUGCAACUGGCAGGGUAGGCUCUCGAACAGUCAGGGAGCUUUUGAAACUUGGUUUUCGAGUUAGAGCUGGAGUUAGGAGUGCUCAGAAAGCGGAAACUCUUGUGCAGAGUGUCAAGCGGUUGAAGCUUGAUCCUGAAGGAACUACACCUGUAGAAAAGCUUGAAAUUGUGGAAUGUGACUUGGAGAAACAAGAUACAAUUGCACCAGCCAUAGGCAAUGCAUCAGUAGUUAUAUGCUGCAUUGGUGCCAGUGAGAAGGAAAUUUUUGAUAUUACAGGACCAUAUCGAAUUGACUACCAAGCCACAAAGAAUCUUAUUGAUGCAGCCACUGCGGUGAAGGUUAACCACUUUAUUUUGGUUUCAUCUUUGGGAACAAAUAAAGUCGGAUUUCCUGCAGCUAUUCUUAAUUUGUUUUGGGGGGUCCUCAUCUGGAAGAGAAAGGCAGAAGAAGCACUCAUUGCAAGUGGUCUUCCUUACACUAUAGUCAGACCAGGAGGAAUGGAGCGCCCCACUGAUGCUUUCAAGGAAACUCAUAAUAUCACCCUAUCCACUGAAGACACUUUAUUUGGUGGCCUGGUAUCAAAUCUUCAGGUGGCUGAACUCAUGGCCUGCAUGGCCAAAAACCGAAGCCUUUCAUACUGUAAGGUGGUAGAAGUUGUUGCUGAAACAACUGCUCCAUUGAGACCUAUGGAGGAACUUCUUGCAAAGAUACCAUCUCAGCGUGCUGACAUUUCCUCUCCUAAGGAAUAUGAUACUCCCACUAAGCCUGACCCAGCACCUGCUAGGAGCACUGUAACCGAGAAACCAACUACCCCUACUGAGAAGGAGCCUGCACAGGCGAAAGUUCUGGAAACAGAGCCACUCUCUCCCUACACUGUCUAUGACGACUUGAAGCCACCUAGUUCUCCUAGUCCAACACCAGGUAGGCCCAAAGAAGUAAGUUCCAGUGUCUCUGCACCAGCAGAAAAUGUCUCAACUUCCACUGAAGGAAACAGUGUGCCAGCAGCUGUGGCUACUGACAUCACUGAGAAGGAUUCAUCCAAGCAGUCAACUAGUCGUUCUCCCUAUUAUGCAUAUGCCGAUCUUAAGCCCCCUACAUCACCAUCUCCUAGAGCACCAACAAAUGCACCAGCAGACAGUGGGUCCAAAGGUGAUACAUUGUCAGGAAACAGCACAGCUCAAUCUCCAAUAGCUGAGAAACCAGGUGAUGAACAGCCUGAUACCAAACCAACACCAAGACCACUUUCUCCUUUUGCUAUGUAUGCCGAUCUUAAGCCUCCUUCAACGCCAUCUCCUAGAGCACCAACUUCUGCACCAGUGGAUAGUGGGUCUGAAGGUGCUACAUUAUCAGGAAAUAGCACAGCUCAAUCUUCUAUAGCAGAUAAACCAAGUGAUGAACAGCAUAAUACCAAACCAACACCAAGACCACUUUCUCCUUUUGCAAUGUAUGAGGACUUGAAGCCUCCAACAUCGCCGAUACCAUCCCCAAAGAAAUCUUAAAGAGAACAAAACUACCAGCCAAGUCCAAUAAGAACCAUGAAAGCAAAUUGGACCUCACCACUAUAGUUAUGUGAAGCAAGCUAGCAAUUUAACCUGCGGCAGUAUUUUAUGGAAAUUUCUUGUUAUAUGAUGCUGAGAGCCUGAGAUUGUGACUAUAUAUGUCUUAAACACCGAGAAAACAAGAAGAUACACACAUGGCAUGAUGCACCUCACUUGCUAUUUCCUGAUUUCUUUCUCUGUUUGAGAAAGAUAAUUAGAGUCCAGAUGCUGGCUUGAGAGUAGAAACUGUAUGAAAUGGUGAUAUUGCAUCUUUGAUAGGGGAAUACUGUGUUUUGGGAGAAUGAAAAAAAAAAUUCUCUUUGACCAGAAAGAACAGAACCAACAAGCAGUAGCCAUAUGCAUCAUUCAAUGAACUUUAAAUUUUGUUAACAAAAUUGUGGAACAAAAAUAAGAUUUUGCUUAAUAGAUGGUGCAUAAAAGGUGUUAUCAUGUGUAAAAUAUGACUUUGAUGUAUUUAAUUUAGUAGAAUCUGUGUCCAUUCCAUACAAAUUUCUUCAGUACACUAGUAUGAAGGAGCCAUGAUAAUGUUGGGGCAUCUUGUCUGGAUGCAAAGUUGGCAUUUGCUUCUUAAUGUUUAUGAGAUCUAGAUCUACAAACUCAAGCUGUGUGGCCAUAGAGGUCAUGGUUAGCAUUAAACCUUGAAAGUUGUGGCCAUGACUGUUGCUAUGUAUUAGGACAAAAGGAAGAAUUGGGAGUGGAGAUUUGAGCUUUGUGAAGAGAAGUUUUGAAAGAAUAUCUCACGAUUAAGAAGCUUGUCGAUAGCUUCUCAUAAAUUUUUUUUGAUACAAUGUUUAGAAUUAUUUAUAAUGCGUCCUUCAUUUUUAAAUAAAAGAAUAAUGUAUUUCAACGAA
RNA transcript from Gossypium arboreum, 2789 nucleotides. It is a transcript of the gene named protein TIC 62, chloroplastic, with no coding region annotated. The transcript has 17 exons. NCBI's taxonomy places the organism in Eukaryota, Viridiplantae, Streptophyta, Magnoliopsida, Malvales, Malvaceae. The record is from RefSeq and is a predicted model, not a curated record.